UUCAAUUAAUAUAUUUUAUUCCAUACUUAUAAAUAUUUAUGGCCAAAAAUAAUAAAUUUUGAUUGCCUCUAGCGGUCCUCUUUUAAAAGACCAAUAUUCACAAAAUAACUCCCACACUUCUUUCAAUUUGGAUCGACUAAACUACUGAAAGUACCAAUAAAAGAUGUAUUCGUUGACAAGAGUAUCUAUGAAUUUAGAAAACAACCCAAAUGCCCAUAGAAGAUCGAUCCUGUAUAUGAAACUAACCAAAUGUGAUCCAGCCUUAACUCAGCGGCUUACGUGGACAAUUUUGAUACACAGUAUCACGUGUUGUUAAUCUGACGUGCAUUGAGUUUGAAUUGGGAAUAAUAUGAAUCCUAGUUCUUCAUUCUUCGUUGGACAUACCCCAACAUUGAAAAUGUGAAAUCCUUCCAAAAUACUUCAUUCAUCUCCAACACUCUCAUCCAUCGUUCCCUUCUCCCCCUCUCCCCACUAAACAAGAAGAUAGCUAAAACAACUUUAGCUAUGUCAAGAAGAAAAAUGACCAGGAGGGAAAGUUGCAUUUUUUCUGGAACAUCAAAUUCGAAGACGAAAAAAGGUGAAAAUCCUGGAUAGAAGAUGUUACUGUGGUGGGAAUGCUGUGUUGUUGGAUUCUUCGACAGUUGCGAACCCAGGAAGAUGAUUCAUUCGCUGCCUAUUCUGGAAGAAUGAAGACUGCAAUUGCUUUGAAUGGAUUGAUGAAAUUGAUAGUGGGUGGCAAGGUUUGACAAGGGCUUUAAUCACACGACUUAAUGAGCAUGAAUGUGGUACUUCCAAUAAGGAUUUGAAGAAUAUUGUAAGAGACAACAUUGAGAAGAAUCUGAACAAGGUUAUGAGGAUUGAAGGUGAAACUAAAGUUAUUGGGGCCUGGCUUGUGGCUCUAUCAUUAGGGCUGUUGUUGCAAUUUACAAUCUUUCUUGUUUAUAAUGGUGAUAAUAUAUAGGUGAGUGACAGUUUGAGUGUAAGAUCUAGACAUAGGUUGGGUGCAUAUUGAAGCACUAUGUGCUAGUGAACAUCAAUGUUAAUAAUGUUUGAAUGAAAAUAAAUUGUUAGCA
This is a non-coding RNA of Arachis ipaensis, 1073 nucleotides long. Lineage: Eukaryota; Viridiplantae; Streptophyta; Magnoliopsida; Fabales; Fabaceae. The record is from RefSeq and is a predicted model, not a curated record.